ACUGCGAGUGAAGCGGGAAAAGCUCAAAUUUAAAAUCUGGCAGUCUCUGGCUGUCCGAGUUGUAAUCUAGAGAAGUGUUAUCCGCGCUGGACCAUGUACAAGUCUCCUGGAACGGAGCGUCAUAGAGGGUGAGAAUCCCGUCUUUGACAUGGACUACCAGGGCUUUGUGAUGCGCUCUCAAAGAGUCGAGUUGUUUGGGAAUGCAGCUCAAAAUGGGUGGUAAAUUCCAUCUAAAGCUAAAUAUUGGCGAGAGACCGAUAGCGAACAAGUACCGUGAGGGAAAGAUGAAAAGAACUUUGGAAAGAGAGUUAAACAGUACGUGAAAUUGUUGAAAGGGAAACGCUUGAAGUCAGUCGCAUUGGCCAGGGAUCAACCUUACAUUUUGUUGGGUGUACUUUCUGGUCAAUGGGUCAGCAUCAAUUUUGACUGUUGGAAAAAGGUCAGGGGAAUGUGGCAUCUUCGGAUGUGUUAUAGCCCUUGGUUGUAUACAGCAGUUGGGAUUGAGGAACUCAGCACGCCGCAAGGCCGGGUUUUUAACCACGUACGUGCUUAGGAUGCUGGCAUAAUGGCUUUAAUCGACCCGUCUUGAAACACGGACCAAGGAGUCUAACAUGCCUGCGAGUGUUUGGGUGGAAAACCCAUGCGCGUAAUGAAAGUGAAAGUUGAGAUCUCUGUCGUGGAGAGCAUCGACGCCCGGACCAGACCUUUUGUGACGGUCCCGCGGUAGAGCAUGUAUGUUGGGACCCGAAAGAUGGUGAACUAUGCCUGAAUAGGGUGAAGCCAGAGGAAACUCUGGUGGAGGCUCGUAGCGAUUCUGACGUGCAAAUCGAUCGUCGAAUUUGGGUAUA
RNAcentral lists this ribosomal RNA (848 nucleotides) under Melanoleuca sp. RNAcentral's name for it is "partial large subunit ribosomal RNA". It matches the Rfam family "Eukaryotic large subunit ribosomal RNA", at positions 86 to 919 of the family's 3401-position model. Lineage: Eukaryota; Fungi; Basidiomycota; Agaricomycetes; Agaricales; Pluteaceae. The record is from RNAcentral.